GAUGAACGCUGGCGGCGUGCUUAACACAUGCAAGUCGAACGGAAAGGCCCAAGCUUGCUUGGGUACUCGAGUGGCAAACGGGUGAGUAACACGUGGGUGAUCUGCCCUGCACUUCGGGAUAAGCCUGGGAAACUGGGUCUAAUACCGGAUAGGACCACAUUUUGGAUGGUGUGGUGGAAAGUUUUUCGGUGUGGGAUGAGCUCGCGGCCUAUCAGCUUGUUGGUGGGGUAAUGGCCUACCAAGGCGUCGACGGGUAGCCGGCCUGAGAGGGUGUACGGCCACAGUGGGACUGAGAUACGGCCCAGACUCCUACGGGAGGCAGCAGUGGGGAAGAUUGCACAAUGGGCGCAAGCCUGAUGCAGCGACGCCGCGUGGGGGAUGACGGCCUUCGGGUUGUAAACUCCUUUCGCUAGGGACGAAGCGUUAUGUGACGGUACCUGGAGAAGAAGCACCGGCUAACUACGUG
Molecule: ribosomal RNA, 466 nt
Filed under: uncultured bacterium
Lineage: Bacteria
Description: partial 16S ribosomal RNA
Rfam family: Bacterial small subunit ribosomal RNA
Source: RNAcentral